This is a long non-coding RNA of Herpailurus yagouaroundi (jaguarundi), 614 nucleotides long. RefSeq lists it as uncharacterized. The record is from RefSeq and is a predicted model, not a curated record. NCBI's taxonomy places the organism in Eukaryota, Metazoa, Chordata, Mammalia, Carnivora, Felidae. The transcript is spliced from 3 exons.
GUGCUAUGCAGAGAAGGAGCCAGCUGCUGCCAUUCACAACACUGCUUCAGAUGGCUGUCUGGAGGGGUCAUGGAAUGCCAACAGUAAGGCGGACCUCUGGAUGAGUAGGCACUGAGAAAACCAUAAGCAAUCAGCCUAGGAAAAUGCACUGCUUCCAUUACGAAAAUGGAAUUCCAGUAUUCUCUAGGCAGUCGUGUUUUAAGUGAAGAAACUGAAAAUGUACUCUAUUUGAGCGGUAUCUUUGGUUGCAUUCCAAGCACCAGGAAAGCCACAAUCAAACCAUAUUUACUCAACUAGUUUAGCAAACUCGUCCACAAAUUACCCAUGGCUUGAGGAUAUGGAUUUGAAAACCAUGAAACACUUUUGACAUCUCAGGUUCAACUUCUUAACUGGCACACUGGGAUAUGCUGGCAUCUGAAUGUAAUUAUAGAUCAACACUCAUUGACAAGAGAUAGGAAUGAAGAAAACUGACAGGCACUUGAAAGGAAGGAUCCAGAUAUCCAAAGACAGAGGUACAGAUUGUCUUAGGAAAAGAGAAGAACAAUUGGAAAUAUCAGAAAACAAGAACAAGAAAAAAAAAAAAAAAAGAAAACUGGCUUUCUCAGAUGACCAAA